This 406-nucleotide ribosomal RNA is filed under the name uncultured bacterium. RNAcentral's name for it is "partial 16S ribosomal RNA". It matches the Rfam family "Bacterial small subunit ribosomal RNA", at positions 29 to 526 of the family's 1533-position model. The record is from RNAcentral.
AUUGAACGCUGGCGGCAGGCCUAACACAUGCAAGUCGAACGAGUGGCGGACGGGUGAGUAAUGUCUGGGAAACUGCCCGAUGGAGGGGGCUAACUCCUGGAAACGGUAGCUAAUACCGCAUACAAUCGGAUGUGCCCAGGUGGGAUUAGCUAGUAGGGGGGGUAACGGCUCACCUAGGCGAAGCUCACUAGCUGGUCUGAGAGGAUGACCAGAAACCCUUGAAAGGAGAAACGGGCCAGACGCCGACGGUAGGCAGCAGUGGGGAAUAUUGCACAAUGGGCGAAAGCCUGAUGCAGCCAUGCCGCGGGUAUGAAGAAGGCCUUCAGGUUGUAAAGUACUUGUAGUGGGGAAGCGUUACUCGCAGAAGAAGCACCGGCUAACUCCGUGCCAGCAGCCGCGGUAAUAC